CAGCAGCCGCGGUAAUACGUAGGGUGCGAGCGUUAAUCGGAAUUACUGGGCGUAAAGCGUGCGCAGGCGGUUCGCUAAGACAGAUGUGAAAUCCCCGGGCUUAACCUGGGAACUGCAUUUGUGACUGGCGAGCUAGAGUAUGGCAGAGGGGGGUAGAAUUCCACGUGUAGCAGUGAAAUGCGUAGAGAUGUGGAGGAAUACCGAUGGCGAAGGCAGCCCCCUGGGCCAAUACUGACGCUCAUGCACGAAAGCGUGGGGAGCAAACAGGAUAGAUACCCCAGUAGUCCCUGUCUCUUAUACA
RNAcentral lists this ribosomal RNA (301 nucleotides) under uncultured bacterium. RNAcentral describes it as "partial 16S ribosomal RNA". It matches the Rfam family "Bacterial small subunit ribosomal RNA", at positions 509 to 808 of the family's 1533-position model. The record is from RNAcentral.